This 64-nucleotide transfer RNA is filed under the name Salmonella enterica subsp. enterica serovar Newport str. SHSN004. RNAcentral describes it as "tRNA-Arg". It matches the Rfam family "tRNA", at positions 7 to 64 of the family's 71-position model. From Rfam's summary of the family: Transfer RNA (tRNA) molecules are approximately 80 nucleotides in length. Their secondary structure includes four short double-helical elements and three loops (D, anti-codon, and T loops). Lineage: Bacteria; Pseudomonadati; Pseudomonadota; Gammaproteobacteria; Enterobacterales; Enterobacteriaceae. The record is from RNAcentral.
CUUAGCUCAGUUGGAUAGAGCAACGGCCUUCUAAGCCGUGGGUCGCAGGUUCGAAUCCUGAAAA